This 468-nucleotide ribosomal RNA is filed under the name uncultured bacterium. Its description in RNAcentral is "partial 16S ribosomal RNA". It matches the Rfam family "Bacterial small subunit ribosomal RNA", at positions 28 to 507 of the family's 1533-position model. The record is from RNAcentral.
GACGAACGCUGGCGGCGUGCUUAACACAUGCAAGUCGAACGGAAAGGCCCUGCUUUUGUGGGGUGCUCGAGUGGCGAACGGGUGAGUAACACGUGAGUAACCUGCCCUUGACUUUGGGAUAACUUCAGGAAACUGGGGCUAAUACCGGAUAGGAGCUGCUGCUGCAUGGUGGGGGUUGGAAAGUUUCGGCGGUUGGGGAUGGACUCGCGGCUUAUCAGCUUGUUGGUGGGGUAGUGGCUUACCAAGGCUUUGACGGGUAGCCGGCCUGAGAGGGUGACCGGCCACAUUGGUACUGAGAUACGGCCCAGACUCCUACGGGAGGCAGCAGUGGGGAAUAUGGCACAAUGGGCGGAAGCCGGAUGCAGCAACGCCGCGUGCGGGAUGACGGCCUUCGGGUUGUAAACCGCUUUCGCCUGUGACGAAGCGGGAGUGACGGUAAUGGGUAAAGAAGCACCGGCUAACUACGUG